AUAUGCUAUGAAAAUCAGUGCCUUCCUUCUCCAGCAUAUAACUUGCAAAUAUUUUCUCCCAUUCUGUAGAUGGUCUUUUCAUUCAUGCUUUUGUCCCCCAGAAGAAAUGUUUCAGUUUGAUGACGUCCCACGUGUUUAGUUUGGCUUUUGCUGCCUGGCCACUUGGUGUCCUGUGAUGUGGUAUUUUGAACACGGAGACUAAGCAACUCCCGGCCGUUCUGGAGCUCUGCCGGAGGACUCCAGGCUCCGCUCGACGGACAGCAGAGAUGGUCGUGCAGGUAGAGCGCAGCUACAAGAUGCUUGCCGUAAUCACACAGGAAAGCAAUGGAUUUUGCACUGGGUGCAUCAGUGAGAUCCCGGACAUAUGAUCGCCUGUAAAUCUUCUCUGUGGAGAGAAGAUGGGGACUAAGGCUUAUUGAUUACCUGCCGCGUGCCAGACCCUCCAGGAGAAAGGAUUUACGUGUGUUCUGUCGACGCAACCUGUAUUAGUUCUCCGUCUACGCGCACUCUCACCCGUCAGGUGCAGGCACACAUACCAGCUACCUGUUGUCUAGGCAGAGGACUCUCUGACCCGGCGUGUCAAAGUGCUGUGUACACCAGGGAGCAAAUUGUUUGGACUCUUUCUGAAAUGGGACUCAGCCCAGCACCGCACACACAGUUUUAUUAGGGAGCACUGAGGAAGAAGAUUGCCAGUGUGUGCGACGGAGACGGCCAGGGUGGGGGGGUUACUUUUAUUUAACAGAAGUAAGAGGUGCUCUGGCCCAGGCCCCCGGCACUGCCAUUUCCGGUCAGAUGUUUGGAAGAGGCCUGCUGGGCUGUGCAGGUCUGCGUCUCCGUGCACUCCCUGCACUCGGUCCCAUUCAACCAGGAGCCUCAGACGUCUGCCUCUCACUUUCCCUUUGAGCACGCCUUCCUUUAAGAACCUACUUGAAGGACUUCCUCUUCCCGACGUUGGCAUGAGAAGGAAUUGAUAAGGGGAGAGCGGAUCAUAAUCUGCAAAUGGGAGUUAGUCUGCUUUGCUUUGAGGACUCGGUGAUGAACCAGAGCUGGGGUCAGGACCUGGUCCUGGGGCGCCAGGCUGAGCAUCUCACUCAGCUCCGUGUCUUCUGGCUGCGUGCCGUGCCGUGUGGUCCCCGUCACUCGGCUUCUCUGCACCCUGCCUUCCUCACCUAUGAAAUCCGGAAAACACCACCCAGUCUGCAGCCUCGUGGGAGAUUAGAGACACAGCAGAGAAACACAUAGGAACCCCUGCUAAGUGGGAGCCCUUGUCACGUGAUUUCCCCUUCUUUUUUAUUUGCUAAUUUGAAGUUUGGGGUCAGAGGCCGUCUGGUUGUCUGUAAUGCCACAGGGAGAGGUCCAGGUGACCCAGCACUGGCCACAGGCUCUCUCCCUGCCUCCGUCCUGUCUCCAGACUCCCCAGAGCACGUAGCUUUAGGUCUUCAGCUCAGAGCAGGUAAACUUUCAGCCUUCCCAGAGCUGCAUCAUCAGGGUGGGGGUGGGGAGGUCCCCUCGAUGAGCGCCAGACUCGUAGUAUGGAAUGUCCCAGAGAAGAGGUCCUUCCUGACCUCCACCCCUGCAGCGAAUCUACCCCGGUGUCCCUCAGCCUCCAGGGACAGCAGUCAUCUGGGGAGCUUGCUGAAAUGCAGACUUUGGGUAAGAGGAUCUGGGUGGGGCGUCCACGUGGCUGACAAGCUGUCAGGUGACACGCAGCCUGCUGGUCCAGGGGACUCGUUGUGAAUGAGAAAGUUCUAAACUCCCCACAUCAGAGAUUUUCUCAAAUUUGUUAAGACCCCUGUUAGGGGCCAGUUCCUGUAACAUUGGGCCCUCAAACGACUUUGGCUUGGGCCCUUUUGGAGUUCUUUUUCUGGGACAGGAUCCAAACCAUCCAUUUUCAUUGACCUCGGCUUCAUUGUAAGAUGGAGAGGCUGGAAACUCCUGGGUCGUUUUCAGGGAUGGAACGCGGCACACUUCCUUCCUUCCGAAGUGGGACAGAUCAGGGAAGAUGCACACUUGCAUCAGUACCAAUUGUCAUCAGCCGAAUUCUAUUCAGUGGAUUUGAAUCUUCUAUGAGCUUAAGGAUCCGCAUGAUUCAGUUGUAUUAAGAAAAAUGCAUAACAUCUAUCAGAACUGAUUGUCAGAAAUAGUUUAACACCCUGAUCGGAAAAUCAGGGAUUUGUUUAUGAGUGAGUUCAGAAGCUUGCUGUCUUAUGUAAUCAUCAAAAAUUACAAUGGGGCGCCUGGAUGGCUCAGUCGAUUAAGCGUCCAACUUCUGAUCAGGUCAUGAUCUCACUGCGAGCUUGA
Molecule: long non-coding RNA, 2301 nt
Organism: Hyaena hyaena (striped hyena)
Lineage: Eukaryota; Metazoa; Chordata; Mammalia; Carnivora; Hyaenidae
Exons: 4
Source: RefSeq, a predicted model, not a curated record